GCUGCUGUUAUCUCAUACUGGAAACAGAAACUUGUCCUUGGAAUGUGAGGUCCUUCACUAACAUCAACAAAGUCACCAAACCUAUGUAAUACUACAAUUCCUUCCAUGUUCUGAGAAGCUUUCUGCUCUAUUAGCUCCAUUUUAUACUUGUUAUGCUGAAACAUUUCACGCGCCACUUUUGCUUCAACAUGCAGUGUUUCAAAUGGCAGGUCUUUAUCAAUUAGCUUAUUGGCAUCCCUUGUAAGAGAACGGAAGUUGUCUUUUGCUGGUUUCCAGUCAUUCAGUCUAUUGUCCAAAAUUACAUCAUAACAGAAAGCUCCAGAGAUCACUGGCACUUCUGGAGAUUUAACCAGAGUCACAGAGUACUCAUCUUUGAACGCCCGCUUUAACACAUUUGCCAUGAUCAUGGCACAGGAACG
RNAcentral lists this long non-coding RNA (419 nucleotides) under Gallus gallus (chicken). Lineage: Eukaryota; Metazoa; Chordata; Aves; Galliformes; Phasianidae. The record is from RNAcentral.